This is a long non-coding RNA of Bufo bufo (common toad), 260 nucleotides long. RefSeq lists it as uncharacterized. The record is from RefSeq and is a predicted model, not a curated record. Lineage: Eukaryota; Metazoa; Chordata; Amphibia; Anura; Bufonidae. The transcript is spliced from 3 exons.
CUAAUACAAAGUCCUUUUCCCUGACUCACCUCUAAGCACAGCUUAUACACAGGGUCUCAAGUUCCAAUCCGCUCGUCGAACACAAGUUCAGACAGGGAAGAGAUACGGCUUUACACAGCCUUGUGGCCCCUCAGCACUCCUGGCUGAGACCACACAGAGCCUCUGUAGGCCUCUGAUUCCAAGUCCUCUCUCUUCACCGACUGACACACAGAUGGUUGGUUUUAUCCCUCCUUGAUUACAGCAGGCCUCAUCUUUGAUGA